ACGUUGCGUUAGCAACGGCCCGAAGGGCGAGACGAAGUCGAGUCAUCCUGCACGACCCACCA
RNAcentral lists this small RNA (62 nucleotides) under Escherichia coli. RNAcentral describes it as "partial RtT sRNA". It matches the Rfam family "RtT RNA", at positions 65 to 130 of the family's 130-position model. Rfam says of the family: This family represents a bacterial cis-regulatory element known as RtT RNA. The exact function of RtT is unknown although it is thought that it may be involved in changing the cellular response in relation to amino acid starvation. Lineage: Bacteria; Pseudomonadati; Pseudomonadota; Gammaproteobacteria; Enterobacterales; Enterobacteriaceae. The record is from RNAcentral.